This 721-nucleotide ribosomal RNA is filed under the name Parcubacteria group bacterium GW2011_GWC2_39_14. RNAcentral describes it as "bacterial SSU rRNA". It matches the Rfam family "Bacterial small subunit ribosomal RNA", at positions 7 to 745 of the family's 1533-position model. The record is from RNAcentral.
GAGAGUUUGAUCCUAGCUCAGGGUGAACGCUGGCGGCGUGUCUAAGGCAUGCAAGUCGAACGCCUAUUCCUUCUUCGGAUAGAAUAGGAGUGGCAAACGGGUGAGUAACACAUUGGUAACAUACCUCUGACUCGUGAACAACUCGGAGAAAUCUGAGCUAAUACACGAUGGUCUGCACUGGCAUGAGUCGGUGCAGUAAAGAUUUAUCGGUCAGAGAGUGGCCUAUGGCCUAUCAGCUAGUUGGUAAGGUAAAAGCUUACCAAGGCUACGACGGGUAGCGGGUGUGAGAGCACGACCCGCCUCACUGGGACUGAGACACUGCCCAGACUCCUACGGGAGGCUGCAGUCGAGAAUUUUCCUCAAUGCACGAAAGUGUGAAGGAGCGACGCCGCGUGGUUGAUGAAACCCUUCGGGGUGUAAAAAUCUUUUUUCUGGGAAGAACUAAUGACUGUACCAGAAGAAUAAGGGGCUGCUAAACUCGUGCCAGCAGCAGCGGUAAUACGAGUGCCCCAAGCGUUACCCGGAUUUAUUGGGCGUAAAGCGUGCGUAGGUGGUCUAUUAAGUCAGUGGUUAAAUCCUUCGGCUCAACCGGGGAAUCGCCACUGAUACUGUUAGACUUGAGUUUGGAAGAGGUAAGCGGAAUUGCCGGUGUAGGGGUUAAAUCCGUUAAUAUCGGCAGGAACACCAAAUGCGAAGGCAGCUUACUAGGACAAUACUGACA